Molecule: ribosomal RNA, 272 nt
Filed under: uncultured bacterium
Lineage: Bacteria
Description: partial 16S ribosomal RNA
Rfam family: Bacterial small subunit ribosomal RNA
Source: RNAcentral
CUUUGCUGGCGACCGGCGCACGGGUGAGUAACACGUAUCCAACCUGCCGAUGACUCGGGGAUAGCCUUUCGAAAGAAAGAUUAAUACCCGAUGGCAUAAUGAUUCCGCAUGGUUUCAUUAUUAAAGGAUUCCGGUAAAGGAUGGGGAUGCGUUCCAUUAGGUUGUUGGUGAGGUAACGGCCCACCAAGCCUUCGAUGGAUAGGGGUUCUGAGAGGAAGGUCCCCCCACAUUGGAACUGAGACACGGUCCAAACUCCUACGGGAGGCAGCAUG